UACGAAGGGGGCUAGCGUUGCUCGGAAUCACUGGGCGUAAAGCGCGCGUAGGCGGAUUGUUAAGUCAGGGGUGAAAUCCUGGAGCUCAACUCCAGAACUGCCUUUGAUACUGGAGAGCUUGAGUCCGGAAGAGGUGAGUGGAACUCCGAGUGUAGAGGUGAAAUUCGUAGAUAUUCGGAAGAACACCAGUGGCGAAGGCAGCUCACUGGUCCGGUACUGACGCUGAUGUGCGAAAGCGUGGGGAGCAAACAGG
This 253-nucleotide ribosomal RNA is filed under the name uncultured bacterium. Its description in RNAcentral is "partial 16S ribosomal RNA". It matches the Rfam family "Bacterial small subunit ribosomal RNA", at positions 524 to 776 of the family's 1533-position model. The record is from RNAcentral.